GGGAGGGAGUGAGGGUGGAGCCGCACCGGCACGAGGGUGUGUUCAUCUGCCGCGGGCGCGAGGACGCGCUGGUGACGCGGAACCUGGUGCCGGGAGAGUCGGUGUACGGCGAGAAACGGAUCAGCGUGGAGGAGGGCGAGGCGUCGGUGGAGUACCGCGCCUGGAACCCGUUCCGCUCCAAGCUGGCCGCCGCCAUCCUGGGCGGCAUCGACCGCAUCCACAUCCGGCCGGGGGCGCGGGUGCUGUACCUGGGCGCCGCCUCGGGCACCACCGUCAGCCACGUCUCCGACAUCGUGGGGCAGGUGAGACACACCUGGGCACA
This is a long non-coding RNA of Passer montanus (Eurasian tree sparrow), 322 nucleotides long. RefSeq lists it as uncharacterized. The record is from RefSeq and is a predicted model, not a curated record. Lineage: Eukaryota; Metazoa; Chordata; Aves; Passeriformes; Passeridae. The transcript has 3 exons.